Molecule: ribosomal RNA, 464 nt
Filed under: uncultured Thauera sp.
Lineage: Bacteria; Pseudomonadati; Pseudomonadota; Betaproteobacteria; Rhodocyclales; Zoogloeaceae
Description: bacterial SSU rRNA
Rfam family: Bacterial small subunit ribosomal RNA
Source: RNAcentral
GACGGGACCGCGACAAGCGGUGAUGAGUGUGGAUUAAUUCGAUGCAACGCGAAAACCUUACUACCCUUGACAUGUCUGGAACCUUGCUGAGAGGCGAGGGUGCUUCGGAGCCAGAACACAGGUGCUGCAUGGCUGUCGUCAGCUCGUGUCGUGAGAUGUUGGGUUAAGUCCCGCAACGAGCGCAACCCUUGUCAUUAGUUGCCAUCAUUUAGUUGGGCACUCUAAUGAGACUGCCGGUGACAAACCGGAGGAAGGUGGGGAUGACGUCAAGUCCUCAUGGCCCUUAUGGGUAGGGCUUCACACGUCAUACAAUGGUCGGUACAGAGGGUUGCCAAGCCGCGAGGUGGAGCCAAUCCCUUAAAGCCGAUCGUAGUCCGGAUCGUAGUCUGCAACUCGACUACGUGAAGUCGGAAUCGCUAGUAAUCGCAGAUCAGCAUGCUGCGGUGAGUACGUUCCCGGGUCUU